Molecule: ribosomal RNA, 484 nt
Filed under: uncultured bacterium
Lineage: Bacteria
Description: partial 16S ribosomal RNA
Rfam family: Bacterial small subunit ribosomal RNA
Source: RNAcentral
AUUGAACGCUGGCGGAAUGCUUUACACAUGCAAGUCGAGCGGCAGCGCGGCCUUCGGGCUGGCGGCGAGCGGCGAACGGGUGAGUAAUGCAUCGGAACAUGCCCAGUCGUGGGGGAUAACACUUCGAAAGAAGUGCUAAUACCGCAUACGUCCUGAGGGGGAAAGCGGGGGAUCGCAAGACCUCGCGCGAUUGGAGUGGCCGAUGUCAGAUUAGCUAGUUGGUGGGGUAAAGGCCUACCAAGGCGACGAUCUGUAGCUGGUCUGAGAGGAUGAUCAGCCACACUGGGACUGAGACACGGCCCAGACUCCUACGGGAGGCAGCAGUGGGGAAUUUUGGACAAUGGGGGCAACCCUGAUCCAGCCAUUCCGCGUGAGUGAAGAAGGCCUUCGGGUUGUAAAGAUCUUUCGGCAGGAACGAAACGGUGGGCUCUAACAUAGUCCGCUAAUGACGGUACCUGAAGAAGAAGCACCGGCUAACUACGUG